GAGCGAACGCUGGCGGCAGGCCUAACACAUGCAAGUCGAACGGAUCCUUCGGGAUUAGUGGCGGACGGGUGAGUAACACGUGGGAACGUGCCCUUUGGUUCGGAACAACUCAGGGAAACUUGAGCUAAUACCGGAUGUGCCCUUCGGGGGAAAGAUUUAUCGCCAUUGGAGCGGCCCGCGUCUGAUUAGCUAGUUGGUGAGGUAAAGGCUCACCAAGGCGACGAUCAGUAGCUGGUCUGAGAGGAUGAUCAGCCACAUUGGGACUGAGACACGGCCCAAACUCCUACGGGAGGCAGCAGUGGGGAAUCUUGCGCAAUGGGCGAAAGCCUGACGCAGCCAUGCCGCGUGAAUGAUGAAGGUCUUAGGAUUGUAAAAUUCUUUCACCGGGGACGAUAAUGACGGUACCCGGAGAAGAAGCCCCGGCUAACUUCGUGCCAGCAGCCGCGGUAAUACGAAGGGGGCUAGCGUUGCUCGGAAUUACUGGGCGUAAAGGGAGCGUAGGCGGACUGUUAAGUUAGAGGUGAAAGCCCAGGGCUCAACCUUGGAAUUGCCUUUGAUACUGGCAGUCUUGAGUACGGAAGAGGUAUGUGGAACUCCGAGUGUAGAGGUGAAAUUCGUAGAUAUUCGGAAGAACACCAGUGGCGAAGGCGACAUACUGGUCCGUUACUGACGCUGAGGCUCGAAAGCGUGGGGAGCAAACAGGAUUAGAUACCCUGGUAGUCCACGCCGUAAACGAUGAGUGCUAGUUGUCGG
This 753-nucleotide ribosomal RNA is filed under the name uncultured Alphaproteobacteria bacterium. RNAcentral's name for it is "bacterial SSU rRNA". It matches the Rfam family "Bacterial small subunit ribosomal RNA", at positions 27 to 826 of the family's 1533-position model. Lineage: Bacteria; Pseudomonadati; Pseudomonadota; Alphaproteobacteria. The record is from RNAcentral.